RNAcentral lists this ribosomal RNA (253 nucleotides) under uncultured bacterium. RNAcentral describes it as "partial 16S ribosomal RNA". It matches the Rfam family "Bacterial small subunit ribosomal RNA", at positions 524 to 776 of the family's 1533-position model. The record is from RNAcentral.
UACAGAGGUGGCAAGCGUUGUUCGGAAUUACUGGGCGUAAAGGGCGCUUAGGUGGCCUUUUGAGUCAGACGUGAAAUCCCCCGGCUUAACCUGGGAACUGCGUCUGAUACUGGAAGGCUUGAGUUCGGCAGAGGGGGGUGGAAUUCCACGUGUAGCAGUGAAAUGCGUAGAGAUGUGGAGGAACACCGAUGGCGAAGGCAGCCCCCUGGGUUAACACUGACGCUCAGGCACGAAAGCGUGGGGAGCAAACAGG